RNAcentral lists this ribosomal RNA (464 nucleotides) under Vreelandella stevensii. RNAcentral's name for it is "partial 16S ribosomal RNA". It matches the Rfam family "Bacterial small subunit ribosomal RNA", at positions 339 to 795 of the family's 1533-position model. The record is from RNAcentral. Lineage: Bacteria; Pseudomonadati; Pseudomonadota; Gammaproteobacteria; Oceanospirillales; Halomonadaceae.
CUACGGGGGGCAGCAGUGGGGAAUAUUGGACAAUGGGGGCAACCCUGAUCCAGCCAUGCCGCGUGUGUGAAGAAGGCCCUCGGGUUGUAAAGCACUUUCAGUGAGGAAGAACGCCUGGUGGUUAAUACCCAUCAGGAAAGACAUCACUCACAGAAGAAGCACCGGCUAACUCCGUGCCAGCAGCCGCGGUAAUACGGAGGGUGCGAGCGUUAAUCGGAAUUACUGGGCGUAAAGCGCGCGUAGGUGGCUUGAUAAGCCGGUUGUGAAAGCCCCGGGCUCAACCUGGGAACGGCAUCCGGAACUGUCAAGCUAGAGUGCAGGAGAGGAAGGUAGAAUUCCCGGUGUAGCGGUGAAAUGCGUAGAGAUCGGGAGGAAUACCAGUGGCGAAGGCGGCCUUCUGGACUGACACUGACACUGAGGUGCGAAAGCGUGGGUAGCAAACAGGAUUAGAUACCCCUGUAGUC